GGAGAGAUGGCAGAGUGGUUUAUUGCAACGGUCUUGAAAACCGUCGAAGGAUAUAAUUCUUCCGUGGGUUCAAAUCCCUCUCUCUCCG
RNAcentral lists this transfer RNA (88 nucleotides) under Candidatus Shikimatogenerans bostrichidophilus. RNAcentral's name for it is "tRNA-Ser". It matches the Rfam family "tRNA". From Rfam's summary of the family: Transfer RNA (tRNA) molecules are approximately 80 nucleotides in length. The record is from RNAcentral. Lineage: Bacteria; Pseudomonadati; Bacteroidota; Flavobacteriia; Flavobacteriales.